This 848-nucleotide ribosomal RNA is filed under the name uncultured bacterium. RNAcentral describes it as "bacterial SSU rRNA". It matches the Rfam family "Bacterial small subunit ribosomal RNA", at positions 75 to 895 of the family's 1533-position model. The record is from RNAcentral.
AGUGCUUGCACUAAAUGAAACUAGAUACAAGCGAGCGGCGGACGGGUGAGUAACACGUGGGUAACCUGCCCAAGAGACUGGGAUAACACCUGGAAACAGAUGCUAAUACCGGAUAACAACACUAGACGCAUGUCUAGAGUUUGAAAGAUGGUUCUGCUAUCACUCUUGGAUGGACCUGCGGUGCAUUAGCUAGUUGGUAAGGUAACGGCUUACCAAGGCAAUGAUGCAUAGCCGAGUUGAGAGACUGAUCGGCCACAUUGGGACUGAGACACGGCCCAAACUCCUACGGGAGGCAGCAGUAGGGAAUCUUCCACAAUGGACGAAAGUCUGAUGGAGCAACGCCGCGUGAGUGAAGAAGGGUUUCGGCUCGUAAAGCUCUGUUGGUAGUGAAGAAAGAUAGAGGUAGUAACUGGCCUUUAUUUGACGGUAAUUACUUAGAAAGUCACGGCUAACUACGUGCCAGCAGCCGCGGUAAUACGUAGGUGGCAAGCGUUGUCCGGAUUUAUUGGGCGUAAAGCGAGUGCAGGCGGUUCAAUAAGUCUGAUGUGAAAGCCUUCGGCUCAACCGGAGAAUUGCAUCAGAAACUGUUGAACUUGAGUGCAGGAGAGGAGAGUGGAACUCCAUGUGUAGCGGUGGAAUGCGUAGAUAUAUGGAAGAACACCAGUGGCGAAGGCGGCUCUCUGGUCUGCAACUGACGCUGAGGCUCGAAAGCAUGGGUAGCGAACAGGAUUAGAUACCCUGGUAGUCCAUGCCGUAAACGAUGAGUGCUAAGUGUUGGGAGGUUUCCGCCUCUCAGUGCUGCAGCUAACGCAUUAAGCACUCCGCCUGGGGAGUACGACCGCAAGGUU